AUCCUUUAGUCUAUACUAUAAGCGAGAAGGGCUCCCAGGUUUUGGUCAUGUUUUACUGUUCAAAAUGGUUCCAAAACGACUACUUUUUGUGCGUUUUGGCUUUUCUUUUCCUUGUUUUUUUACUAUUCAACAGUUGCCAUACUGGUGAGAUCCACAUUUUAUGCUUUUUUUUUUAUUUUGCCAUACGGGUGUCAGGGGUUGUGGUAUGACAUGCAUUAUGGUUAUGAUGACUUACAGUAUGGUAAGGAUAGAGUUGGUGUACUUUAUACAAAAUUCUUGACUUCAUUAUUGUACUUCAGAAAAGACUUUGCCUUACCAUCUUUUCUCUCCCCCUACUCUCUUUAUCAGUGACGAUAAAGAACAUGAGGAUUGUGUUAUUCACUACAAAAUUGCAAAAUGGUUAGAGAAGUAAAGCUAAUCAAGGAUAUUCAAGCUCAACAAAGAGGUUGGACAGUAAAAGUGGUGAUUAUUGAGAAACCAAUGCCACGAGUUUCUAAAUCAAGUCCAAACAAAUAUCAAAGGUUAAUCUUAGCUGAUGAAGAAGGUAAUAAGAUCCAGGCCACAAUAUAUGGUGGAGACAUCCACAUCUUCCGAGACACACUCAUAAUUGGGAAAAAUUAUUAUAUUUCUAAUGCUUGGGUUAAAGAAAUUGGUGCACAAUAUCAGAUUGUUCAAAAUAAUUUGCAAUGGACUAUAAAUGGUCGAACCAUUGUGGAAGAAGUGACUGGAGAUUCAGAGAUAAUUGUGCCUGCUGUUUACAGCUUUGUCCCGUUCUCAUGACUACACACUUAUAUUGACUCUCUAUCCCACAUCGGUAUGUUUGUCUAUAUAGUCAAUUUGUUCAGCUAUAUUUUUAUAACUUUUCAUUUGUGAAUCUUUCUUUUUUUUAGGAUUCUGUUAAAGAUAUUGAAAAAAUUGCCACAUUAUCCAGUAGUCAUAAGCUUCUAAUUCAAGUUAAAGCAUCUAAACAUGAAUAUCGUGAUAUUACAAGAUGGAAAUACACAAUCCUUUCUGUUUGUGAUACUAUUUCAAAAGAAAUCAACACAUUAACACAAACAGAUACUUCAAAUGAUGCUGAAGUUAGUCAAGUUUUAGAAAUUGUUGAAGAGCAAAGUGGAAAAUCGUUAGGCAUAACUGAAUUGAGAGGUAUGAACAUGUUUGAUACAUUAUAUCCUAAGUGAAAUUACAUGAGCUUUUAUUUAAUGUUCUAAUGCAUAUAUAUUACAACUUUCAAAAUCAGAUAUAUCUGGAAGUGCUGACAAUGCUAAGAUAGAGCAAAUGAGCAAUGAAGAUAAAGUCCUAGCUGAUUUGGUUUCAAAGGCUACUGCAAGAAACAAUGCAACAAAGAAACUAAAGCUGAUGAUUUCCAAAAGUGCAGAUGAGGCAGAUCCAAUAGCGUUGAAUCUUGAAAGUUCUCAUUUACAAUUUGGUGAAGGGAGUAGGAAGCAGUUUGCCGAGCUUAAAGACAAUGCUUAAUUUGUUAUCAUGGGAACCAUCUUUUUGUUAAUGUGGACAUGAUAGAUUACUAUCAGUUCAUAAGUAGAUUAUUAUCAGACUUUUGUGAAUUUAUAGCAUAUUUAGACUAUACUAUGACAGUUACACUAAUAUUAUUAUUUUGUACAUUGCAAGAUGUAAUAGAAAUUGAUUUAGGUAUAA
Ziziphus jujuba (common jujube) is the source of this 1656-nucleotide long non-coding RNA. RefSeq lists it as uncharacterized. NCBI's taxonomy places the organism in Eukaryota, Viridiplantae, Streptophyta, Magnoliopsida, Rosales, Rhamnaceae. The transcript has 4 exons. The record is from RefSeq and is a predicted model, not a curated record.